Molecule: non-coding RNA, 46 nt
Organism: Macrostomum lignano
Lineage: Eukaryota; Metazoa; Platyhelminthes; Macrostomidae
Source: Rfam
AAAACGGCCCUUUUCAGGGUCACAAAAGUUCAUUUUCUUUAAAUCU